This 464-nucleotide ribosomal RNA is filed under the name uncultured Klebsiella sp. Its description in RNAcentral is "bacterial SSU rRNA". It matches the Rfam family "Bacterial small subunit ribosomal RNA", at positions 338 to 795 of the family's 1533-position model. The record is from RNAcentral. Lineage: Bacteria; Pseudomonadati; Pseudomonadota; Gammaproteobacteria; Enterobacterales; Enterobacteriaceae.
CCUACGGGUGGCAGCAGUAGGGAAUCUUCCGCAAUGGACGAAAGUCUGACGGAGCAACGCCGCGUGUGUGAAGAAGGCCUUCGGGUUGUAAAGCACUUUCAGCGGGGAGGAAGGCGUUAAGGUUAAUAACCUUGGCGAUUGACGUUACCCGCAGAAGAAGCACCGGCUAACUCCGUGCCAGCAGCCGCGGUAAUACGGAGGGUGCAAGCGUUAAUCGGAAUUACUGGGCGUAAAGCGCACGCAGGCGGUCUGUCAAGUCGGAUGUGAAAUCCCCGGGCUCAACCUGGGAACUGCAUUCGAAACUGGCAGGCUAGAGUCUUGUAGAGGGGGGUAGAAGUCCAGGUGUAGCGGUGAAAUGCGUAGAGAUCUGGAGGAAUACCGGUGGCGAAGGCGGCCCCCUGGACAAAGACUGACGCUCAGGUGCGAAAGCGUGGGGAGCAAACAGGAUUAAUACCCGGGUAGUC